UACUUUUUAAAUAAAAAAAAAAAACCGUAAAACAGAAAAGCCUGCUACAAGCCUUCGGCUUGGAAUGCUCCCUCGAUUUUCGUAUUCAAUUUUUCCAGACUUUUCACACAACGGAAAUUCAACGGAGAAAUAAUCUCUCUCUUCCAAUCUAAUCGAAUACUCAGCUCAAUUUCCUCUCAUGGCUUCCUUUCGCAGGCUUCUUCCUCUUUGCUCCUCCCUCAACAGAACGAGCUUUUCUUCUCCUAGAGUUCGAGAAGGAUUAGGAGCAAAUGUUCGAGGCUACAGUGGAAUUGCACCCUCUGAGGAAACGAUAUCAAAGUUUGAGGAAGGAAUAAGGCGAGCUGAGGCGGAUUUGGUGGUUAAUGAUGACAUUGACAAGAUUCGGAGGGAAUUUGAUGCUGCCAAACGGAGUUUCCUUAAGAUUCCCGAAGCACUCAAGGCAAUGCCGAAGACAAAUCCUGAAGGGAUAUAUGUCAAUAGGAGUAUUAGACUGGAUCUUAUUCAAGUAUAUGGAUUCGACUAUGAUUUUACGUUGGCACAUUACUCUGCUAACUUGCAGAGUUUGAUAUAUGAUCUCGCAAAGGAGCAUAUGGUGAAUGAGUUUAGGUAUCCUGAGGUUUGCAUGAGUUUUAAAUAUGAUCCAUCUUUUCCCAUUAGAGGACUGUACUAUGACAAGCAGAAUGGGUGUCUCUUGAAGUUGGAUUUUUUUGGUUCAAUAGAGCCAGAUGGGUGCUUCUACGGUCGUCGCCAGGUAGGUGAGAAGGAAAUAGAAGAGAUAUAUGGCACAAGACAUAUUGGCCGUGACCAGGCGCGUGAGCUUGUGGGCUUGAUGGACUUUUUCUGCUUCAGCGAGGCAUGCCUCAUUGCUGAUAUUGUGCAGUAUUUCGUUGAUGCUAAACUAGAAUUCGAUGCCUGUUAUAUAUAUCAAGAUGUCAAUCGUGCAAUUGAGCAUGUUCAUCGAAGUGGUUUGGUUCAUAGAGGAAUUCUUUCUGAUCCUCAUCGAUAUCUAGUAAAAAAUGGUCAGCUAUUACACUUUCUUAGGCUGUUAAAGGAGAAAGGGAAGAAACUUUUCUUGCUGACAAACUCACCGUAUUAUUUUGUUGAUGGAGGGAUGCAGUUUAUGUUGGAGGAUUCUACGGGUGGCAGAGAUUCGUGGAGGGAGCUUUUUGAUGUUGUAAUUGCAAAAGCUAAUAAGCCAGAGUUUUACACUUCUGAGCGUCCAUUCCGGUGCUAUGACACUGAGAAGGACACUCUAGCUUUUACAAAAGUGGAUAAAUUUCUUCAAAAUAAAAUAUAUUACCACGGGUGCCUCAAAUCCUUUCUCCAAAUUACAAAGUGGAAUGGUCCAGAGGUGAUAUACUUUGGUGAUCACCUAUUUAGUGACUUAAGAGGCCCUUCAAAGGCUGGUUGGCGGACUGCUGCGAUCAUCCAGGAACUAGAAAGUGAAAUACGCAUGCAAAACGAGGAUAGUUAUCGAUUUGAACAGGCAAAAUUUCAUAUACUACAGGAAUUGCUUGGGAGGUUACAUGCAACUGUAGCCAAUAAUAAGAGAAGUGAGGCAUACAAGUUACUUAUGGAUGAACUAAAUGAAGAGAGGCAGAAAGCACGCUCCAUGAUGAAGAGAAUGUUCAAUAGAUCUUUUGGGGCCACCUUCCUCACUGACAAAGGUCAAGAAUCUGCUUUUGCAUAUCACAUCCAUCAAUAUGCCGAUGUUUACACUAGUAAACCAGAGAACUUCUUGUUCUAUUCACCUGAGACAUGGCUCCAUGCACCCUUUGAUAUCAAGAUCAUGCCUCAUCAUGUGAAGGUUCCAUCAAGUUUGUUCAAAAAUCAGUAGAUGUUACUUCUCAAUGCCAUAAAGGAUGGGACGUUUCUUAAAGUUUCAUCAUUUUAUUCAGCUCCAAAUGUGGCUAGGAUGGCCAUUUGUUGAUGUUUCUGUCAUGAGGGUGACCGUGGUAUUAUGCUCGUGUUCAGUGAUUGGGUGGGAACUGCAUGACAAAUAAUUCACGUUGCUUGUCGCAUGACACGUGCUUAAGGUACUUACCUUUUAACACUUGUACUUAUCCAAAAUACUGAGGCUCUUUUGGUGUCACAUCUAUUUUUAUUGAAAGUUCAAAAAUGUUAACGAUCCUAAUUUUAAAAAAAAAAUAGGUAGGGAAAAUUGAAAAAACUUUUUUUAUGCCAAUUAAUUUUUGAGUUCUAAGAAUAUACUUUAUAAAUUUGACUAGUACUUUUUCUUUUCUUUUUUUUUUAAUAUUUGUUGUUUUUUGUUUUUAAUUUAUGGCAAACCUUAUCCGUCCUUGGUGGGGAGGUGUAGCUCUUCCUCUCAUCAUCCCAAGAGAACACAAGUGGUUUACAGGUGGAUGCCUGCAUUAGUUUCAGCCCUUCAACUGCUAUUGGCCAUUGGGGAUAACAGAAAUAUUUUCUUUCUAUUUUAGACAAAUUUGAGAAAGUUGGAGAGAAGAAGGUAAGAUUCAAAUCUUAACUUAAAUACAAGCUUUGUUUAAAGACUUGUCGAGUUUUGUUUUCUCAUAAUUUGAGAAGAAAUAGACUUGGUUUUGGGUUUGUGGAGGAGUCAUAGGCUGCACAAUAUUCCUUAAAUUGACCUUUGAAUCUAAGAAAUAGAGACAAAACAAAGUCAAAGGAGACGAUGAAGCAAAUAUUAGAUUGCGUACAAACAGCGGCCACGCAGAACUCACCUUCUCGGUGACCAAAUCAAAUUGGAAGCCAAAGGGUUUUUGGCAUUUCUCCCCACGCAAUCCAUCACCUGAAACUUGCCAGCCUCUUUUCUUGUUUGCUUUUGAGUUGUGAAAUAAACCCAAUGCAGUGCCACUUGUUAUGACAUCAAUGGCUUCCGUAAUUGCUACUUGUUACCACAUUUAUGCUUC
Molecule: non-coding RNA, 2888 nt
Organism: Theobroma cacao (cacao)
Lineage: Eukaryota; Viridiplantae; Streptophyta; Magnoliopsida; Malvales; Malvaceae
Source: RefSeq, a predicted model, not a curated record